Molecule: ribosomal RNA, 253 nt
Filed under: uncultured bacterium
Lineage: Bacteria
Description: partial 16S ribosomal RNA
Rfam family: Bacterial small subunit ribosomal RNA
Source: RNAcentral
UACGGGGGGGGCAAGCGUUGUUCGGAAUUACUGGGCGUAAAGGGCUCGUAGGCGGCCAACUAAGUCAGACGUGAAAUCCCCAGGCUUAACCUGGGAACUGCGUCUGAUACUGGAUGGCUUGAAUUCGGGAGAGGGAUGCAGAAUUCCAGGUGUAGCGGUGAAAUGCGUAGAUAUCUGGAGGAAUACCGGUGGCGAAGGCGGCAUCCUGGACCGACAUUGACGCUGAACGGCGAAAGCUAGGGGAGCAAACAGG